RNAcentral lists this ribosomal RNA (488 nucleotides) under uncultured Enterobacteriaceae bacterium. RNAcentral describes it as "bacterial SSU rRNA". It matches the Rfam family "Bacterial small subunit ribosomal RNA", at positions 30 to 505 of the family's 1533-position model. Lineage: Bacteria; Pseudomonadati; Pseudomonadota; Gammaproteobacteria; Enterobacterales; Enterobacteriaceae. The record is from RNAcentral.
AUUGAACGCUGGCGGCAGGCCUAACACAUGCAAGUCGAGCGGUAGCACAGGAGAGCUUGCUCUCCGGGUGACGAGCGGCGGACGGGUGAGUAAUGUCUGGGAAACUGCCUGAUGGAGGGGGAUAACUACUGGAAACGGUAGCUAAUACCGCAUAACGUCUUCGGACCAAAGUGGGGGACCUUCGGGCCUCACGCCAUCAGAUGUGCCCAGAUGGGAUUAGCUAGUAGGUGGGGUAAUGGCUCACCUAGGCGACGAUCCCUAGCUGGUCUGAGAGGAUGACCAGCCACACUGGAACUGAGACACGGUCCAGACUCCUACGGGAGGCAGCAGUGGGGAAUAUUGCACAAUGGGCGCAAGCCUGAUGCAGCCAUGCCGCGUGUGUGAAGAAGGCCUUCGGGUUGUAAAGCACUUUCAGCGAGGAGGAAGGGUUCAGUGUUAAUAGCACUGUUCAUUGACGUUACUCGCAGAAGAAGCACCGGCUAACUCCG